This is a long non-coding RNA of Ctenopharyngodon idella (grass carp), 833 nucleotides long. RefSeq lists it as uncharacterized. The transcript has 4 exons. The record is from RefSeq and is a predicted model, not a curated record. NCBI's taxonomy places the organism in Eukaryota, Metazoa, Chordata, Actinopteri, Cypriniformes, Xenocyprididae.
UUGAGCACAUAAAUCUCAGAGGAAACUUGAAUCUUGUCUGGAUGUUACAGGGACAGAUGAUCACACGUGUGUUUAUCCGGUGAUGAAGGAAUGCUGCCAUCAAAGGCUUUGAAGCUUUGUGGUGAAGCAGGACCUACAAGACAAGGUGACUGCAGCAAAAAAGGAAAACCUGAAACAAAAAUAUAAAGAUGUGAAAUGUCCUUAGACUGGUGUGAGCACUGAGGAUGGAGAGCCACAGCAGAUCCUGGAAAUGGUGUAGAGCCAUGGAUGAGACCCUCCAUCACUCCUCCUUCCAAGUGACUUGAUCAAGGACACACUGGAGGUGAUGCUGCAGAGAUUGAACCAGCAACCUUCUGCUGACCAGCUCAGUGGUUUAGCCUACCACACCACAAAAUCAUGCUGAUGGAGAGCACAUGAAUGUUUGCAGCAGACACAGCAGCAGCCAGAUUGUCCUGCACACCUUCUCCCACUCUUGCUUCAAGGUUGUGGGGUUCAGGGGUCCAUCAUCAUCAUCUUCCUCAUCCUCUGGAUCAAUGAUGUCCCCAUUGAGAAGAGCAGCAGUGAGGGACAUGAUGGAUGAAGGUGUUCAUCAGAAUAAAGCUGCAGAAUGGGCACAGCUGUGUGAGAUGGCAGUAGGAUUGUAAAUGCGUGAUUGUUAGAUCAAUAAAUUUGAAUAAAGCUUUGUUUCAUGUUGUUGACUUGUAUAUGCGUUUAUUUAUUGUCAUUAUUACUUUUAUUAAUUCUUUUACUUUUUUAUUAACUAUGCUAUUAUUAUCAGUAAAUUUAUAUAUUUUAUUAAGCAAUGAAUUAAUGCAUGAAUUGACUAUAAAUUG